GGGAAAGGCGGGGCCACGGUUAGGUAGGUGUGCGCCUGCGCGGAAGCACCGGAAGUUGGGAGUUAGGCUCGCCACCCGGGUGCCUGGCGCUCCGUGCGUCUUGCUACUCACAGAACGUUCUGGAAGUUUGGGAGGCGCCGUGGCCCCAGGAACCUCCUGAUCUGGUGUUGUUUGUAACCUGUCGUUCCCCACCCCAGACCCAACCGCAGCGGGGGUGUGGGGAGGACAGAGAACCUCAAGAAUGGAAGCGGCGGGGAAGAUCUCGGAGACCAACCUUUCACCUGUCAGUUGAGAAAAGUGGCCAUUCCCCAGCCUGGGGCGCAAAUGUUGGCACCAGGCCCCGGCCAUUCGGCCCGGGGGCACCCUGCGCCUCUCAGAGGAGGCGGACUCAGACGUACACCUGUUCCAGGACUCUACGGAGCCAUAGGGCUUCUCGGGUGCCAUCCUCAGAUGAGGAGGUGGUGGAGGAACCUCAGAACCACAAUGCACAGAUGUCCUUGGGCACCAAGGGGCUGAAAGUCAACCUGUUUCCUGGCCUGAGCCUGUCGCCCUGAAGGCCAAUCUGUGCCCUCGGAACCGCUCAGCUGAGGAGGGGGAGCCUGUGGAGAGCAAGCCAAGCCAGGAGGAGUCUGUGGUGCAGCGUUCCAAGUCUUGCAAGGUCCCGGGGCUGGGGAAGCCCCUUGCGUUACCUCCCAAGCCAGAGAAAUCCUCAGGGUCAGAAGGAUCAUCACCCAACUGGCUAUAAGCCCUGAAGCUCGAAGAAGAAGGUCUGAGAAGUCCUCGAGGUCCUUCCAUCUGGCAGUCUCAGGCAAUGCCCAUUCCUGUGGGGUCCCCGGGGAGGAGACAGCUGGAGCCCCACCAGGCCCCAGGCUGCAGCCUCUGUCCCCUCCACAUCUGAGGAGCAGCUGGGGAGGCACAUUUAUGCACUUUGUAUCCCUCCGCCCUUCUUGACUCUACCCCCUCCCUCCUGACCAGAUUCAGGCAUUAGUGGUAAAGGUUUGGUCCCUCCUCCCUCAGUCUCUUGACAACCGCCCCUCUGCUUCCUCCUCCAGCCUCCGUUGGGUUUUCUUUUGAUAUCAAUUUAUAGCAUUUUUUAUAAAAGCCUUUCAUUUUUGUAACAGGUGGAGCCCUGCCCCCUCCCAAGCCUCCCUCUGUCCUGCCAGGUGCCCCACAGAGACCAAUAACAUUUUGCCACUUGAAACAAUAAAGUUUUUUGGGGAAAAAAAAUCUUGGGAUUA
RNAcentral lists this long non-coding RNA (1238 nucleotides) under Vulpes vulpes (red fox). RNAcentral describes it as "lncRNA (ENSVVUG00000020805.1)". Lineage: Eukaryota; Metazoa; Chordata; Mammalia; Carnivora; Canidae. The record is from RNAcentral.